UACAGGCCAAGACAGGCCAGACUCAGCCCUUUGGUAAAUUGUGAUUAUCCACAUGCAGCACUUCCCUGCAGUCAGUGCCAUGUCUCCAAAUUCAUCUCCUGGCAAUUAUAUCCAGAAACAAUAAGGUUUUCUACUGAAAACAAAAGCUUGUUGAGACAACAGCAUAAUUAACAUCCACCUGAGUAACUCUCUGCAUCUUGGCUAUGGGCCAAGCACGUUCUCAGCCCAAGGCAGGGAAAAGGAAGGCUCCAAGACUGCUCCCAAGAAACUGCCAUGGCAGCAGAGGCAUUGACAGCCUCCUGAAAGCCAUGGGAAGCCCAGGACUUAAAUCAUCACCGAUUUACAGCUUUGAUUUGUUACUCAACAGGAUCCUCGCUGGAAGAAACAUGGGCUUGGAAAAAAACUCCUGGAGGUCCAAAGGAAGGUCCAAACCUGAUCCUGCAGGUUUCCCUGUUCACACCAGUGAGGG
This 469-nucleotide long non-coding RNA is filed under the name Cyanistes caeruleus (blue tit). RNAcentral describes it as "lncRNA (ENSCCEG00000011550.1)". The record is from RNAcentral. Lineage: Eukaryota; Metazoa; Chordata; Aves; Passeriformes; Paridae.